Long non-coding RNA from Amphimedon queenslandica, 465 nucleotides. RefSeq lists it as uncharacterized. The transcript has 3 exons. The record is from RefSeq and is a predicted model, not a curated record. NCBI's taxonomy places the organism in Eukaryota, Metazoa, Porifera, Demospongiae, Haplosclerida, Niphatidae.
UGGAUUUUUAUGAAUUUUAAAAGUUGUGUACUAACAUGAUAAUUGAUAUAAUUAUACUGUAGAGAUAUUUCAUUGGUUGACCGAGCACCUGUCAUUAAAUAGAACAGGAGGAGGAGAGAGAAGAGGAAGCACAAAUAUAAGAAACCAUCAGCUAGGAGGAGACCAAUGAGACAACAGGUACAUACAGUGACAUCACAUCCAGGAAGGACUAUCAGUUAAUGUUAGAGUUAAAGUGAAAUUUGAGUAAAUGAAAAAGAAGGAAAGGAAAAGGAGAGAGAUAUAUGAAGCUACCAUGACUCACUUCGACAGCUUCAAACUUGUCAACACCAUAACUACUGUACGUGUAUGUGUUCAAUAAUAUUAUUUUUUAUGGCAUACCAUACAUGCUAUACUCCAGUAGUAAUUCAAUGAGACCAUACUGUUCUGAAAAUUACUAAUUAUUGUUGUGUCAUAAUGCAGCUAAAA